GCAGGGUGGACAAGCUCCUCUGCAGGCUUCCCUUUCCUUGUCUCCCAGUGUCCACUGGCAAAUGAGCGAGAGUCAAAUACAGAAUCUGUGCCCUUGUCCAGCCACUCAGUGAUUCUUCCUAUAUUCAUGGGUGCUGUGCACAGAGUUGCUCAGUCAUCUCAUGCUAGAGAAUUCAUGGGAAACGUAAACUGAUUCCAAUGUAGACUGAAGACUAGCAGAUCUCCAGGAAUCCUCCAGGUCUUUAGCACCAGAUCAGGAGUGCUGAGACAUCCAGCCUUGUGAACAGAGCAACUACCGGAUUCGGAUUCUCAGACUCUCCAGUAUGGUACAGCAAUAUUUGGACU
Long non-coding RNA from Nannospalax galili (Upper Galilee mountains blind mole rat), 344 nucleotides. RefSeq lists it as uncharacterized. The transcript is spliced from 3 exons. NCBI's taxonomy places the organism in Eukaryota, Metazoa, Chordata, Mammalia, Rodentia, Spalacidae. The record is from RefSeq and is a predicted model, not a curated record.